GUCGCUUGGUAGAUGGAUUAAAAAUGUGAGCCUGGUGAGAAGCUGAUUCCCAUACCAGACAUUACUCCCUGGAGAACUACCUCAUAACUUCAUGAUUUAAUAUUAAUUGUUGUAGACAUAAGCUUAUCAUGUUCAGAAUCAUUAACUUAAAAUUAACCAUUUAUGGAAAUAUUGUGCAUGCCAUAGAAAAUGGAACUUGUUGGUAUCAUAAGAGUUUAUUAGCCAAUAAGAAUGGUUAAAAAUGUAAUGAUAAUUAGUACUAAAAAAGAGAGCAAUAUCUAUGCCGUAAAGAUUCAUACACAAUCAUUGCAUUAUCCACCAUUCAUGUCAAUGAUGAUUGAAAAAAUGACAGUGUAAUACAUAGAUAUUUUUCUCUUCCAAAAAUCUUAGACUUAUGAGAAAUGCACUAAAAUGAAUGUGAAGUUAUGUAUUGAGAAUCAUGUACCUUCAUGUGGCAUGAAAGGUAAUUAUGACGGAGAUAGUAGAAAGAGUAUUCAACGAGGGAAGGAGAAACACAACACACCCCGCGAGGGGAGAGUGGGGCCAAUAAAAAAAAGAAAGUGGCCGCCGAAAACUCUCCCCUCGCAACAACAAACUAAUAAUUUUAUUGAUUUUCUUUUGACCUGCCAAGCAAGCGCACCGGACAUGGCAAAGGUCUAGUAGUAACAAAAUAUAACAAUCAACGUAACAAGUACCUUACGAGUCUACGACUGUAUCAGUAUGCAUAACACGAGGUCUCUCUCACAGACAUAACUUCACACUGUAUAAGAUAAUAAUCUCCUAAAGGAUCGUACCGAUACAAUCGAAAUUAUACAAUCAAUCUCGCGUUAUUUGAACAAUUCCUUCACUAGGUGAAACCAAUUUCUCUGUUCUCGAACUAGAAGCAGAACUACUCAUCCAGAUCCAAUGUAAAAAUACAAAAUCCAUGUCGGUUAACGACGCAAUCAAGACCUGUAAAAAUUCGACAUAUUCAGAUCCAAUAAUAAGACAAGAAAUAAGAACCGGACUCGAAAAUUCGCAGAUCCAAAACUCACCUUAUCAAAAUCAAAACCAGAUCGAAGUAUUCCUCGCCUACGUCAAAUAAAUUUCUUCAUCCCUGAACGAGAACGAUUCCGUGAAAUCGAGAGCGAGAAUUCGAGCGGAUCUUGCAAAGAAUCAUCGCUUAAAACGUGAUCAAGGUUCAAUUCGCGGUGAUUUGACCGAGUCAGAUGGCGCCUAAUAGGGUUUCCCGCGAUGAGGGGGAUAUGAGGGGUUAUGGUGAUUUAUAUAGUGGAGUUUGAUGAAAAAGGUUUAACUCGCUCAUAAUACACCGUUGGUAUAGACGGUGAUAGGAAAUCGCAUCAGUUCAUUUUAAUCAAAUAAAACACUGAAUGGGUAGGUAAUGUAUUUGCGGUCACAAAGAAAGGAAGGUUCUCGAUAAACUAUAUAUUUUUGCCUCACACCGUGAGACGUGUUUCGCGUGUCGUUCUUUGAGGCCAG
RNAcentral lists this long non-coding RNA (1479 nucleotides) under Lupinus angustifolius (narrow-leaved blue lupine). RNAcentral's name for it is "long non-coding RNA (LANG_LNC003412)". The record is from RNAcentral. Lineage: Eukaryota; Viridiplantae; Streptophyta; Magnoliopsida; Fabales; Fabaceae.